GCGGAGUCCGUGCCAGCUGACGAGGUAAUAGGGAGGUGGCAAGCGUUGGCCUGAAUUAGUGGGCGUAAGGCGCGGUCAGGCGGGACGUUAAGUCGGAUGUGAAAGCCCACGGCUCAACCGUGGAGGGUCAUGGGAAACUGGGGGACGUGAGUGAAGAAGAGGAAAGCGGAAUUCCACGUGUAGCGGUGAAAUGCGUAGAGAUGUGGAGGAACACCAGUGGCGAAGGCGGCUUUCUGGUCUGUAACUGACGCUGAGGCGCGAAAGCGUGGGGAGCAAACAGGAUUAGAUACCCGGGUAGUC
Molecule: ribosomal RNA, 300 nt
Filed under: uncultured Aeropyrum sp.
Lineage: Archaea; Thermoproteati; Thermoproteota; Thermoprotei; Acidilobales; Acidilobaceae
Description: bacterial SSU rRNA
Rfam family: Bacterial small subunit ribosomal RNA
Source: RNAcentral